UACGAAGGGGGCUAGCGUUGCUCGGAAUCACUGGGCGUAAAGCGCACGUAGGCGGAUCUUUAAGUCAGGGGUGAAAUCCUGGAGCUCAACUCCAGAACUGCCUUUGAUACUGGGGAUCUCGAGUCCGGAAGAGGUGAGUGGAAUUCCUAGUGUAGAGGUGAAAUUCGUAGAUAUUAGGAAGAACACCAGUGGCGAAGGCGGCUCACUGGUCCGGUACUGACGCUGAGGUGCGAAAGCGUGGGGAGCAAACAGG
RNAcentral lists this ribosomal RNA (253 nucleotides) under uncultured bacterium. RNAcentral describes it as "partial 16S ribosomal RNA". It matches the Rfam family "Bacterial small subunit ribosomal RNA", at positions 524 to 776 of the family's 1533-position model. The record is from RNAcentral.